GAAUUGACGGGGGCCCGCACAAGCGGUGGAGCAUGUGGUUUAAUUCGAUGCAACGCGAAGAACCUUACCUGGUCUUGACAUCCACGGAAGUUUUCAGAGAUGAGAAUGUGCCUUCGGGAACCGUGAGACAGGUGCUGCAUGGCUGUCGUCAGCUCGUGUUGUGAAAUGUUGGGUUAAGUCCCGCAACGAGCGCAACCCUUAUCCUUUGUUGCCAGCGGUCCGGCCGGGAACUCAAAGGAGACUGCCAGUGAUAAACUGGAGGAAGGUGGGGAUGACGUCAAGUCAUCAUGGCCCUUACGACCAGGGCUACACACGUGCUACAAUGGCGCAUACAAAGAGAAGCGACCUCGCGAGAGCAAGCGGACCUCAUAAAGUGCGUCGUAGUCCGGAUUGGAGUCUGCAACUCGACUCCAUGAAGUCGGAAUCGCUAGUAAUCGUGGAUCAGAAUGCCACGGUGAAUACGUUCCCGGGCCUUGUACACACCGCCCGUCACACCAUGGGAGUGGGUUGCAAAAGAAGUAGGUAGCUUAACCUUCGGGAGGGCGCUUACCACUUUGUGAUUCAUGACUGGGGUGAAGUCGUAACAAGGUAACCGUAGGGGAACCUGCGG
Molecule: ribosomal RNA, 610 nt
Filed under: Shigella flexneri
Lineage: Bacteria; Pseudomonadati; Pseudomonadota; Gammaproteobacteria; Enterobacterales; Enterobacteriaceae
Description: bacterial SSU rRNA
Rfam family: Bacterial small subunit ribosomal RNA
Source: RNAcentral